RNAcentral lists this ribosomal RNA (468 nucleotides) under uncultured bacterium. Its description in RNAcentral is "partial 16S ribosomal RNA". It matches the Rfam family "Bacterial small subunit ribosomal RNA", at positions 28 to 507 of the family's 1533-position model. The record is from RNAcentral.
GACGAACGCUGGCGGCGUGCUUAACACAUGCAAGUCGAACGGAAAGGCCCUGCUGUUGUGGGGUGCUCGAGUGGCGAACGGGUGAGUAACACGUGAGUAACCUGCCCUUGACUUUGGGAUAACUUCAGGAAACUGGGGCUAAUACCGGAUAGGAGCUCCUGCUGCAUGGUGGGGGUUGGAAAGUUUCGGCGGUUGGGGAUGGACUCGCGGCUUAUCAGCUUGUUGGUGGGGUAGUGGCUUACCAGGGCUUUGACGGGUAGCCGGCCUGAGAGGGUGACCGGCCACAUUGGGACUGAGAUACGGCCCAGACUCCUACGGGAGGCAGCAGUGGGGAAUAUUGCACAAUGGGCGGAAGCCUGAUGCAGCAACGCCGCGUGCGGGAUGACGGCCUUCGGGUUGUAAACCGCUUUCGCCUGUGACGAAGCGUGAGUGACGGUAAUGGGUAAAGAAGCACCGGCUAACUACGUG